CCUGGCCUCGCUCAGUGGGUUAAGGAUCCGGCGUUGCUGUGAGCUGUGGUGUGGGUCACAGACGUGGUUCAGAUCUCACCUCGCUGUGGCUGUGGCGUAGGCCAGUGGCUACAGCUCUGAUUAGACCCCUAGCCUGGGAACCUCCAUAUGCCGUGGGUACAGCCCUAAAAAGAUAUUAAAAAAAAAAAAAGAAAAAUAAUACAUUCCUGGAGGAGGUUGUAACUGCAAUUAGGUUAGGUGUUAAGUCUUGGUUUGCUGACGUGGGGCUUAAUACAAAUAACUCCAUUUUGGACCUGUCAUUUCUUAACAGCACAAGUCAUAACAGCACUGCUAUUUGCUAAACAAGUAAUCCAGUUAGGUGAUGGCAGAUAUUUUUAGUAUGGAAAAGUAUUUUAAACAACGGAAUCUCAGCCCUGUUCGCAUACCUAUGCUUUAUAAACAAAGGCUAAGGUAAAUACACUAAAAUGUUAACCCUGGCCAUUUCUGUGCAGGAGAACUACAGGAGAUUUGUGUUUUGUUCAUGUUCCAGAUAUUGAAUAACAAUCAUGUAUGACUUUUAUGAUCAAGGAAAAACCAUUUUAAAAAGUAAGAAAAGAUUUGGGAGUUCCCAUUGUGCCUCAGCAGGUUAAGAACCUGAAUAUUGUCUCAAACUGUGGGGUAGGUUGAAGUUGCAGCUGGGACCUGGCAUUGUUGUGGCUGUGGUGAAGGCCGGCAGCUGCAGCUCCAAUCCGACCCCUAGCCUGGGAACUUCCAUAUGCUGCAGGUGUGGCCAUAAAACAACAACAACAACAAAUUUAGGAGUUCCUGUUGUGGCUUAGCAGGUUAAGGAUUCGGUGUUGUUAUUGCUGUGGCUCAGGCCAUGGCUGUGGCUGGUAUUGAUGAGGAUGUGGGUUCGAUCCCUGCCCUCAAUCAGUCGGUUAAGGAAAUGACAUUGCCACAAGCAGCAGCGUACGUCCCAGGUAUGGCUUAGAUCUGGCAUGGCUGUAGUGUAGGCUGGCAGCUGCAGCUAUGAUUUAACUCCUCGUCUGGAAACUGCCAUGUGCCCAGGCGUGGCCCCAAAAAGAAAAAAAAAAAAAGUUUUAAAUGUUGAAUAAUAAAUAUUUUAAAAUACAUGGUCUUGAGACCGAGCAGAACUGUGUGGGGCCCUCCUGGGCACAGAAGCCUUUCUGCGUCUCCAGUUUCUUCGUGGGAAAGAAGCUUCAGCCUCCAAGACUUUCCCUGAGUUCAGAGGGCAGAAUCAAAUAGUUGACUCUUUAUUCAAAAUAGUUGAACUAUUUAAAUAGUUCACUAACUAUUUAGGGGAAGUAAGGGAAUAGUUCACUAACUAGAGGGAGUGAGGGAAUUAUUCACUACUAACUAUUGAGGGGAAGUGAGGGAAUGCAGAAACAAAGGGAAAUCAGUCAAGAAAAAACAGGGCGGAAUAAAGCAGAGUCCUAGCUCCUCCUCAAAGGAUAUUCAUACAAAUAUACCUUUGAGUUCUUCUGCAGGAACUAAGACCCCAAGGGGAGGAUGGUAACUUGAGCACAAGAUUACUGGACCCUGCCCUGUCACCUCACCAUUGAACAAACAGAAGAAAGUCACACACCCUGCAGCCCUAAAAUUCUCCCCGCAAAACCACCAGGGAAUUCAGGUUUUUUGAGCACGAGCCAUCUGUUCUUGCUUGGCCCUUACAGUAAACUGUUCUCCACUCCAUACCUCCUCCCCGACUCCAGCCCCAGGUGAGGCACACGAAUUUGUGUGCAGUAACAGUAGUACCUGCCUCAAAAGCCUCUCCAUCCUGAGACCUACCACACAAAUGCCCACUUUUGCAGAGCUGUGGUACAGAGAGCAUGUCAAGUGUUAGACAAUUUGAAGAUUCAACACAAAGAAUAAGUGAAUGAAGCAGCUUAUUGGGGUUUGGUUUUGGAUGCAUAUCUGGGCCAAUCAAGUUAUCAGUUUACUUUUCAGAAAACAUUAUCAUGGAAUGGUUUGAAAGAUACUAUCUAGUUUUAUCUUCAUCCUCCACUUCCCACACCCUUUCUAAAUUUAAAUUUCACUCUUUACAAAGGGUUGCUGAUACAAUCUGAUACCAAGAAUUCUAUUCACUUUUUUUUUUUUUUUUUUGCUUUUUAGGGCCAAACCCGCGGCAUAUGGAGGUUCCCAGGCUAGGGGUCUAAUUGGAGCUGUAGCUGCCGACCUACGCCAUAGCCACAGCCACAGCAAUGCAGGAUCCCAGCUGUGUCUGCGACCUACACCACAGGUCACAGCACCGGAUCCUUAACCCACUGAGCAAGGCCAGAGAUUGAACCCACAAUCUCAUGGUUCCUAGUUGGUUUCGUUUCCGCUGCGCCACUAGGGGAACUCCUUGAUUCACUUUAGAUUCUUAAUUUUAACAAUAGAAAGUGUAGGGGUGGAAAUAAUCUUCCCUCUACCCUUAUGAGUUCUCACCUGAGACCCCUUGUAAUAGAUGAUCAAGAGAAAAACAAACAAGCUAAGUGCCUAGAUUGACUGAAGUCACCACCUUAAUUACUAUCUUCAGCCAAAGACAAAAGAAAGUUGUAGGGUGUAUGGAGGGAGGCCAGUUACGGAGGUUUGGGGAAAAGCACCUAAACAAGGGUAAAGAUUGUUUGGCACACUUGUCAGUACUUUCCCCAUUGAGAUUCUUUUGCAAUUUAGAAUCAACCUUCUUUUCCAGGUACCUUGAGGGAGACAUUUACAACAGUAAAUUUCCCUUAGAAAAGAGUAACUUCUGGAGUUCCCUGGUGGCUCAGUGGGUUAAGGAUUUGGUGUUAUUGCUGUGGCUCAGGACAUGGCUGUGGCUGGCCAGGAACUUCCAAGUUCCAUACCCCUCCUCCCCCAAAGGGGUUAACUUUGACUCUAUUUUCAGAGUCUCCAGAGCCUGCUCUUUCUCAGAAAUAAUCAGCUUAAAAUAAUCCUUAUGCCAAAGAGGCAUAUUUUGGGGUAGCAUAUUCUGCAGCUUUUCAAAAAAAGUUUUCUAUUUUUACAUAGCAAAGCUUAACCAACCUGAUUAACCCUCUUCAACCCCACCUGAAAUUCUUUCCUUCCCUUUUAUCCUCAGCACUAUCCCAAUUCUCCCUCUUUUUUUUUUUAGGGUCUGCAUUCCUGGUAUAUGGAAAUUCCCAGGCUAGGGGGUCCAGUCCGACUUGCAGCUGUGGGCUUAGGCCACAGCCAGCCGAUAUUCCGGGUCCUUAACCCAUUGAGCAAGGCCAGGGAUUGAACCCGCACCCUCACGGAUACUAGUCGGGUUCUUAACCCGCUGAGCCACAACGAACUCCCCUCUCUUUUUCUACCUCUUUGCUCCUCUAAGCCUUCAGGACCCACAGUCCUGUCCUCUUUUUCUCCAUUCCACUCUACAGUGAAGCCCGAAGUGUUUUUCCUCUGAAGUUAAACUUUUCUUAUUUACAUGGUUCCCCCAAAUUCAAUUC
This 3425-nucleotide long non-coding RNA is filed under the name Sus scrofa (pig). RNAcentral describes it as "lncRNA (ENSSSCG00000053987.1)". Lineage: Eukaryota; Metazoa; Chordata; Mammalia; Artiodactyla; Suidae. The record is from RNAcentral.